Molecule: ribosomal RNA, 389 nt
Filed under: Ruegeria sp. UloCh-03
Lineage: Bacteria; Pseudomonadati; Pseudomonadota; Alphaproteobacteria; Rhodobacterales; Roseobacteraceae
Description: bacterial SSU rRNA
Rfam family: Bacterial small subunit ribosomal RNA
Source: RNAcentral
CAGAACGAACGCUGGCGGCAGGCCUAACACAUGCAAGUCGAGCGCGCCCUUCGGGGUGAGCGGCGGACGGGUUAGUAACGCGUGGGAAUAUGCCCAAAGGUACGGAAUAGCCUCUGGAAACGGAGAGUAAUACCGUAUGUGCCCUUCGGGGGAAAGAUUUAUCGCCUUUGGAUUAGCCCGCGUUAGAUUAGGUAGUUGGUGGGGUAAUGGCCUACCAAGCCUACGAUCUAUAGCUGGUUUUAGAGGAUGAUCAGCAACACUGGGACUGAGACACGGCCCAGACUCCUACGGGAGGCAGCAGUGGGGAAUCUUGGACAAUGGGGGCAACCCUGAUCCAGCCAUGCCGCGNNANUGAUGAAGGCCUUAGGGUCGUAAAGCUCUUUCGCCUG